GGAGUGGACGCGAGUGAGAAUGCAGGCAUGAGUAGCGAAUGAGGAGUGGAAACCUCCUCCGCCGGAUGACCAAGGGUUCCUGGGCCAGGUUAAUCCUCCCAGGGUGAGUCGGGACCUAAGGCGAGGCCGACAGGCGUAGUCGAUGGACAACGGGUUGAUAUUCCCGUACCCGCGCAAUCGCGCCCAUGGUGAAUCAGUGAUACUAACCCUCCUGAAGCGUCCUUUCAUCACCUUCGGGUGGUGUCUGGUUGUGGAUGCAGGGGACCUGAUCUGGUAGUAGCCAAGUGAUGGGGUGACGCAGGAAGGUAGCCGUGCCACCUGAUGGAUGGUGGUGUAAGCGUGUAGCCGGCAGUCCAGGUAAAUCCGGGCUGCGAUAGUGGUGAGACGUGAUGCGUACCCGUUGUGGGGAAGUUGGUGAUCCUAUGCUGCCGAGAAAAGCCUCUAGCGAGUGGUUGUGCGGCCCGUACCCCAAACCGACACAGGUGGUCAGGUAGAGAAUACUAAGGCGAUCGGGUGAACUGUGGUUAAGGAACUCGGCAAAAUGCCCCCGUAACUUCGGGAGAAGGGGGGCCGCGUGAUGUCUAUGCCCUUGCGGCGGACGGCGUUGCGUGGCCGCAGAGAAUAGAGGGAAGCGACUGUUUACUAAAAACACAGGUCCGUGCGAAGACGGGUAAGUCGAUGUAUACGGACUGACGCCUGCCCGGUGCUGGAAGGUUAAGAGGACCUGUUAGCGGACUUUGGUUCGCGAAGCGGAGAAUUUAAGCCCCAGUAAACGGCGGUGGUAACUAUAACCAUCCUAAGGUAGCGAAAUUCCUUGUCGGGUAAGUUCCGACCUGCACGAAUGGCGUAACGACUUCCCUGCUGUCUCAACCACAGACCCGGCGAAAUUGCAGUACGAGUAAAGAUGCUCGUUACGCGCGGCAGGACGAAAAGACCCCGGGACCUUCACUAUAGCUUGGUAUUGGUGUUCGGUUCGGUUUGUGUAGGAUAGGUGGGAGACUGUGAAACCUCAACGCCAGUUGGGGUGGAGUCGUUGUUGAAAUACCACUCUGAUCGUAUUGGAUAUCUAACCUUGGCCCGUGAUCCGGGUUGGGGACAGUGCCUGGUGGGUAGUUUAACUGGGGCGGUUGCCUCCCAAAGAGUAACGGAGGCGCCCAAAGGUUCCCUCAGCCUGGUUGGCAAUCAGGUGUUGAGUGUAAGUGCACAAGGGAGCUUGACUGUGAGACUGACAGGUCGAGCAGGUACGAAAGUAGGGACUAGUGAUCCGGCACCGGCUUGUGGAAGCGGUGU
This 1290-nucleotide non-coding RNA is filed under the name Prevotella sp. S7 MS 2. Its description in RNAcentral is "Bacterial large subunit ribosomal RNA". It matches the Rfam family "Bacterial large subunit ribosomal RNA", at positions 1275 to 2445 of the family's 2925-position model. Lineage: Bacteria; Pseudomonadati; Bacteroidota; Bacteroidia; Bacteroidales; Prevotellaceae. The record is from Rfam by way of RNAcentral.